RNAcentral lists this ribosomal RNA (388 nucleotides) under uncultured Methanosaeta sp. RNAcentral's name for it is "bacterial SSU rRNA". It matches the Rfam family "Archaeal small subunit ribosomal RNA", at positions 949 to 1338 of the family's 1478-position model. The record is from RNAcentral. Lineage: Archaea; Methanobacteriati; Methanobacteriota; Methanomicrobia; Methanotrichales; Methanotrichaceae.
GAAGGCCAGGCUGAGACUUUGCCGGAUUAGCUGAGGGGUGGUGCAUGGCCGUCGUCAGUUCGUACUGUGAAGCAUCCUGUUAAGUCAGGCAACGAGCGAGACCCACGCCCACAGUUGCCAGCGUACUCUCUGGAGUGACGGGUACACUGUGGGACCGCCGCUGCUAAAGCGGAGGAAGGAAUGGGCAACGGUAGGUCAGUAUGCCCCGAAUAUCCCGGGCUACACGCGAGCUACAAUGGUUGGUACAAUGGGUAUCUACCCCGAAAGGGGACGGGAAUCUCCUAAAACCAAUCUUAGUUCGGAUUGAGGGCUGCAACUCGCCCUCAUGAAGCUGGAAUCCGUAGUAAUCGCGUUUCAACAGAACGCGGUGAAUACGUCCCUGCUCCUU